Molecule: long non-coding RNA, 342 nt
Filed under: Gossypium barbadense (sea-island cotton)
Lineage: Eukaryota; Viridiplantae; Streptophyta; Magnoliopsida; Malvales; Malvaceae
Description: long non-coding RNA (GBAR_LNC011932)
Source: RNAcentral
UUGUUGCCAUAAUCUUCCAAACAUAGGCAGAGAAUGCCUCGAUUUUCGUUCUCUUGUUACCGUCGGCAGAUGCAAGAGUUUGCAGGUGAUUGAUGCUGGAGGCGUCAACAAAGUAAAGGCGCUUGAGCAAGAUGCCGGUUUUAGGUAUGUUUCUAAUAUCUUCAAGCGUGCACUUGACAAAAACAUGAUUGAAAUAAGGGUGAUACGUAGGAGGGAGGCGCGGUGGAAGGCUUCUCCCGAGAUCAAGAUCCGGUAUGCAAGAGAGAGGCAUGUCACGAGCUAGUUGGGACCACGAGGAGAGAAAGUUGCCAAAAGCAGUGGCAUCACCUAGAGAAUGGUCGA